AUACGAAGGGGGCUAGCGUUGUUCGGAAUUACUGGGCGUAAAGCGCGUGUAGGCGGAUCGUUAAGUCAGGGGUGAAAGCCCGGGGCUCAACCCCGGAACUGCCCUUGAUACUGGCGAUCUAGAGUCCGGAAGAGGUGGGCGGAAUUCCCGGUGUAGAGGUGAAAUUCGUAGAUUUCGGGAGGAACACCAGUGGCGAAGGCGGCUCACUGGUCCGGUACUGACGCUGAGACGCGAAAGCGUGGGGAGCAAACAGGAUUAGAAACCCUAGUAGUCC
This 274-nucleotide ribosomal RNA is filed under the name uncultured bacterium. Its description in RNAcentral is "partial 16S ribosomal RNA". It matches the Rfam family "Bacterial small subunit ribosomal RNA", at positions 523 to 796 of the family's 1533-position model. The record is from RNAcentral.